This 405-nucleotide ribosomal RNA is filed under the name uncultured prokaryote. RNAcentral describes it as "bacterial SSU rRNA". It matches the Rfam family "Bacterial small subunit ribosomal RNA", at positions 355 to 776 of the family's 1533-position model. The record is from RNAcentral. RNAcentral also lists the same sequence under 1 other name.
UGGGGGAUAUUGCACAAUGGAGGAAACUCUGAUGCAGCGACGCCGCGUGUAGGAAGACGGUCCUCUGGAUUGUAAACUACUGUCUUCAGGGACGAUAAUGACGGUACCUGAAGAGGAAGCUCCGGCUAACUACGUGCCAGCAGCCGCGGUAAUACGUAGGGAGCGAGCGUUGUCCGGAAUUACUGGGUGUAAAGGGAGCGUAGGCGGGAAGGCAAGUUGGAUGUGAAAGCUAUCGGCUCAACCGAUAGACUGCAUUCAAAACUGUUUUUCUUGAGUGAAGUAGAGGCAGGCGGAAUUCCUAGUGUAGCGGUGAAAUGCGUAGAUAUUAGGAGGAACACCAGUGGCGAAGGCGGCCUGCUGGGCUUUUACUGACGCUGAGGCUCGAAAGUGUGGGUAGCAAACAGG